This is a long non-coding RNA of Dicentrarchus labrax (European seabass), 1784 nucleotides long. NCBI's taxonomy places the organism in Eukaryota, Metazoa, Chordata, Actinopteri, Moronidae. The record is from Ensembl.
AUGUUGCAUGAACCGUGCUUGGCCACUUUUACCCAGGAGUUGGCAGAAUUUGAAACUGUCCCUGGAGCUUCCAUCAAGGGUCUGACCGCAGAAGUAGAUGUCCUGAAGAAUGAACUGCAGAAAGUCAUUCAGUACAGGAAAGUGUCCAAGAAGAGAAAUGCAGGAGUUCAACAGCCAAACUUCGAGAGAGAACUGAAGAUGGCAAUUGAAAAAUACAAAACGGAUCUCUCGGCACUGACGAAGAUGUGUGAGGAGAUGAAGAAACUCUACUCUGUCAUACUGGUUAAAUUCGGAGAACCAGCGGAUCAAGACUCUCAGGAGCUCUUUGGGUUGAUUUGUCAGUUCAUUCACGAGUUCAAGAGGGCCCGUGCUGAAAUGAUAUGAAUUAUACUCUACAGAGUACAUAUUGCUUACCACUGAGACAGCAGUGAUUAUUCAUUAUUAGUCACAGUUUAGAAAGAUGAAGAUACAAAAAUAUUAGGAUGCUUUGAAAUAUAAAAUGUUGCAUGGAUUUGUUUGUACAGAUGUUUUUUUUAUAAUGGGCACUGAAUUUCAUUCAUAGUAUAGACAUACAGUAUGAAGUGUAUAGUGAUGCUGAUGCAUCUGGAUGACAGGAUGACAAUGCCAGUGAAAAUCAAUUUUGUGAAUAUAAAACUGAUCUAUCACAUUAUUUCACAUCAGAGGUUGUUUUGAUUUGUGUUGACUUCUUGUUUACUGACUAUUUGUUUUGAGACGAAUCAGUAAUGCAGGAUUUGAAAGCCCUCGGUUGUAAGACACACGCGGAUGCUGAAGUGUGCCGCUAAUACCCACAGCUCUGUGCUGGCAGAGGAACAGAAUGGGCCACACUUCAGAGGCCAGCUGAGGCUGGUGUACUUUGGGUGCGUGAUUAUUUUGAACAUGCAAUCGCGCUGUGGUCGGGGACAUUUUCUAUCCCAGCUCUCCAGGAGGAGCUCCAAGGCCGCCUCUGAUUAAGGACCACAUCUGCACUGUGGCAAUGACAUGAUGAGAAGCACAACAUUCCCCAUCAAAAGGUUGAAAGGUAUUCUUAGCACGGUUUAGAACUGAUGCAUGUGUUAUACAGGUUGUGUGUGUCUUGACAUUUUAAUCAGUUGACAACAAAAGCACUGUAGCUGUAACUGUGAACCAUGGUGGUAUAAUGAACCCGACCUCACACUGAGCAGGAAAAGUUGCACAUUUUCUUGAAAAAGAAGAAACCACUGAUUUUAAUUAAAACUUUGCAUCUGUAGAAACUGGUGAUUCAUUAGCAGGAAACACGCAAAACUAUUUCAUUAAAUGUUUUCUUCACACAGUCUUAUCUUAUUAGGAUGUUUUACAUUUCCAAUUUGUCAAAAUUGACGCUGGAUGAAUCAUUAAGGUUGGUUUUUUUUUCUUGAUGUAGUGUCUUUGUACCGCUUUUGAAAUGAAAGAGAGAUGAGUGACAUGUCUUUAAGCAUGUACACAAGAUCAACUACAGAAGUCACUUCUUCUUUCUUACUUUGGAAUUAGGUUCACUUUUUAAGAGACAAAGACAUGUAUAAUAUAAUAGUUAUGCCUUUAUUGUCCCCUUGUUAUAUGCCACAAUCUGAAUUGCUACACUUUUCUUCCAGUUUUCAAAUACUUUGUCAGUAUUACCUUUGUUUGUAUGGGCUCCAUUGUACACUACUUUUCACUUUUAGUUUUGGAGGUCAUUACUGGGUUUUUAGAGCUCUGUGUAUAAAAAGGUAAGACAUUUUAUCUCAGUGUGAGGAUAUUAUAUUUAUUAUAUAAAAUAUCUAUUCUAUUUG